This 1418-nucleotide ribosomal RNA is filed under the name uncultured organism. RNAcentral's name for it is "bacterial SSU rRNA". It matches the Rfam family "Bacterial small subunit ribosomal RNA". The record is from RNAcentral.
CUUCGGGUGAAGACUUAUAGGGAACGUGGCGAAAGGGUGAGUAAUAAAUGGAUAACCUACCCUCCAGAUCGGGAUAAUCCAUCGAAAGGUGGGGUAAUACCGGAUGGUCUGGCAGUCUUAUCAGUCUGUCAGUAAAGGUUGCUUCGGCAUCUGCUGGAGGAGGGGUCAUUUCCUAUUAGCUUGUUGGUAGGGUAAUGGCUUACCAAGGCAUAGAUGGGUAGGGGGCCUUAGCGGGUGAUCCCCCACACUGGGACUGAGACACUGCCCAGGUUCCUACGGGAGGCUGCAAUCGAGAAUCCUCCGCAAUGGGCGAAAGCCUGACGGGGUGACGCCGCGUGGACGAUGAAGGCCUAUCAGGUUGUAAAGUCCUAACAGGGAGUAUGAAAAUCGGCGGGUCCGAUAGGCCCGUUGAUUGACGUCAAUCCCAGAUGAAGUCACGGCUAAAUAUGUGCCAGCAGCCGCGGUAAGACAUAUGUGGCGAGCGUUGUUCGGAAUUACUGGGCUUAAAGCGCGCGUAGGCGGUUCAGUCAGUUAAUUUGUGAAAUCCCCCGGCUUAACCGGGGAAUCGCGGUUAAUACUGCUGAACUCGAGUACAAGAGGGGAGAGUGGAAUUCUGGGUGUAGCGGUGGAAUGCGAAGAUAUCCAGGAGAAGGCCGGUGGCGAAAGCGACUCUCUGGCUUGAUACUGACGCUGAGGUGCGAAAGCGUAGGUAGCGAACGGGAUUAGAUACCCCGGUAGUCUACGCUGUAAAUGAUGGGCACUGGAUGGUGGAGGCGCUGAUAGCUUUCUCCGUCGAAGCAAAUGCGUUAAGUGCCCCGCCUGGGGAGUACGGUCGCAAGAUUAAAACUCAAAGGAAUUGACGGGGGCCCACACAAGCGGUGGAGGAUGCGGCUUAAUUCGAGGACACGCGUAAAACCUUACCGAGGUUUGACAUGUAGGGAUUAAUCCGGUGAAAGCCGGAGGAUUGCCUUACGGUGCAACCUACACAGGUGCUGCAUGGCUGUCGACAGUUCGUGUCGUGAGAUGUUAGGUUAAGUCCUGAAACGAGCGAAACCCCUGUGCUUAAUUGCCAGCGCGUUAUGGCGGGGACAUUAGGCAGACUGCCUCGGCUAACGGGGAGGAAGGUGGGGACGACGUCAAGUCAGCAUGGCCCUUAUACCUCGGGCUGCACGCGUCCUACAAUGGGCAGUACAAACAGGACCGAUCCCGCGAGGGGGAGGAAAUCUCUAAAGCUGCUCUCAGUUCGGAUUGCAGGCUGAAACCCGCCUGCAUGAAGGUGGAAUCGCUAGUAAUCGCCGGUCAGCUAUACGGCGCUGAAUCCGUCCCUGGGCCUUGUACACACCGCCCGUCAAGCCACCCGAGUUGGGCGCACUCGAAGUCCGAGACUCAACCGUUUACGGAGAGAUCGGCCGAAGGUG